CAGUCGCCGCGGUAAUACGAAGGGGGCUAGCGUUGCUCGGAAUUACUGGGCGUAAAGGGAGCGUAGGCGGACAUUUAAGUCAGGGGUGAAAUCCCAGAGCUCAACUCUGGAACUGCCUUUGAUACUGGGUGUCUUGAGUGUGAUAGAGGUAUGUGGAACUCCGAGUGUAGAGGUGAAAUUCGUAGAUAUUCGGAAGAACACCAGUGGUGAAGGCGACAUACUGGAUCAUUACUGACGCUAAGGCUCGAAAGCGUGGGGAGCAAACAGGAUUAGAUACCCCAGUAGUCCCUGUCUCUUAUAC
RNAcentral lists this ribosomal RNA (301 nucleotides) under uncultured bacterium. Its description in RNAcentral is "partial 16S ribosomal RNA". It matches the Rfam family "Bacterial small subunit ribosomal RNA", at positions 509 to 807 of the family's 1533-position model. The record is from RNAcentral.